UACGAAGGGGGCUAGCGUUGCUCGGAAUCACUGGGCGUAAAGCGCACGUAGGCGGGUUCUUAAGUCAGGGGUGAAAUCCUGGAGCUCAACUCCAGAACUGCCUUUGAUACUGGGAAUCUCGAGUCCGGGAGAGGUGAGUGGAACUGCGAGUGUAGAGGUGAAAUUCGUAGAUAUUCGCAAGAACACCAGUGGCGAAGGCGGCUCACUGGCCCGGUACUGACGCUGAGGUGCGAAAGCGUGGGGAGCGAACAGG
This 253-nucleotide ribosomal RNA is filed under the name uncultured bacterium. RNAcentral describes it as "partial 16S ribosomal RNA". It matches the Rfam family "Bacterial small subunit ribosomal RNA", at positions 524 to 776 of the family's 1533-position model. The record is from RNAcentral.